Non-coding RNA from Chlorocebus sabaeus (green monkey), 1221 nucleotides. Lineage: Eukaryota; Metazoa; Chordata; Mammalia; Primates; Cercopithecidae. The record is from RefSeq and is a predicted model, not a curated record.
UAGUAGCAGAAAUGCAAGUCUUUCAAAUGCUUCUGGGAAGACUGUGUAAAGAAAUGGCUCUCCCUUGUUCAAAGACAUCAAACAUUUCCAUGUAAGAUGUCUUACUUCACCAGUAGUAAUAUGCUUCCAUCAUAGGAAAAUUGGCUGUCUACAUUUAAAAGAAAAAUGAAGACAUCAUUAAAACUUAUUAGAAACAAUAUAGCAAUUUUUAGCCUAAUGGUGCUAAGAGAGUGACAUGAAUGUCCUUGAUUACCCAGUCUUUGAAGGUGGAUGCAGGUCUUUUUAGUCCAUUUUAAUGGUCAAGAUUGGUUAGCUUCAAAAGAAAAAGAUUUGAGAUUUGCAAAAAAAAAAAAAAAAAAUUUGUUCACCAAUGACAUGUUUUUGAGACCCUUUUUUUGUAACCUUGACUAUUAAGUUGCCUAUGACUUCAUUUUUGUAGAAAAUGAGUUUCAGCAGGUGGAACUGAAAAUUACUGUUAGGAAAGAAUGAUUUCCAAUGAGGUCAGAAUUAGUACACAUUUAUGUUUUUAUUGUUUAUAUAUGUACUUCCUCCACUUCUUAUGAUCUGAAGUCAAAAUCUUCUCAUUGUAAGGUCACAAUUGUGACACAGUAACUAGUAAAAUGUUUAAAUCCUUUUUUCAGCAGCAAAACAUUGAACCUUUGCCCUGUGGAUUCUCAUUUAUUAAAGCAAAGAGAAAAGGAGUAUAAGAUAUAAAGUUUCAUGUGCAGAUCUUCCCACCUUAUGAAUUCUGUGUUGAAAUGAACCACUCUAAAACCCCAGGGAUUUGGCCAAACUCUUCUCCUGUCUGCUACCAACUUUGACCUUGUUUUCUACAAGACUUAAGAGGCUGAUCACCUCCAGUUUUACAUAUUGAAAAGAUUUGACUUCUUUUUCUUCUGGGGACCUCCCUAUGAUGCUAACUGAUGAUUUCCAGUUAUUUUACCUGCAAGUUAAAACUAAUUUAGAAAACACACAAGUUCAUGUGGCUUGAUGAGUAUAGACAUUAGGAAGGAAGCAACAGCUAGUCCUGUUCAAGGCAUCUUAUUGAGAGUUGCUUCAUGCCACCUGGACUUGGCCCUGUUCUGUGUUGUCAGAGAAAGAGCUUCCCAAAUUUUUGGCAGGCAUUUUAAUCCCCUUAUUCUGAAAUUUGCAUGUGUGCUUUUUUUUUUGAGACGGAAUCUUGCUCUGUCACCCAGGUGGAAAUGCAGUGUGCGAUCUCUG